CUCCUCCUGGUAGGAUCCCUUCAGGUACUGGAAGGCCACAAUUAGGUCACACCGAAGCCUCCUCUUUUCCAGGCUGAACAAUUGCAGUUCUCUCUGCCUUUCAUUCCUUCUAAAUCAGUGUCUCAUCCCUUCAGCGGUAAAGAAAGGUUUAAUAUCCUGAAGCUGAAAAUCAUAUCCACUCUUUUCAACUGGUUGUUUUGUAAAGAAUGUGCUAUGACGCAUAGGAAUGUGAUCAUAGUAAAGAGUGUGCCUGCAGAGAUGUCAUAAGUGUCUUCCCGUGCCUGCAUUUCAGAAGGCAGCACUACCAAAGAUAAAGGAGGAAUCUGAAAUAGCUGAGGUGGCAGGAAUAUUCUGGCAAUGGACUUUCCAAAGAAAAGUAUAUUUUCUCACAAAACUGAAAAUGCCCGUCGUGAAAAAUGUCAGUUUAAUGCAAAUUAAUGUGGAAAAGAGAAUUGGAAGUUUUCUCUGGUGUAUCCCUGAAGGCUCUCCUGAAGGACUGCACCGUCGCCAUCACCGCCUGUCUGCUGGAGGGAAGGGAACAACGUGCAAGAUUUUUUUCCCCAAGGCAGGAAUUUCAACUAUGCUUAGAUGGAGCUCGUAGCUUUUUUUUUUUUUCCCCUGGAAACACUUACUGAGAAGAACAGGGAAUUAUGUUUCUUUAUAGCAGGAGUGAAAGCAAAUGAAAGAACAGGAGAGAUUCAGGAUUUUGCUAUGUCUUAACAGUGCCUAGGGUACUUGUGAAAAGGCUGUCAUCAGUGCCAGGGAGAGACAAGUGCUGCAUGAAAAGUGACAGUGGAAGUUUUCCUGCUCCACCAGUGUCUUUGCCUUCUUUUUUUUUUUUUAGGAGCCAUCUAGAGAAUAAAAGCCAUACCUCAGCUAU
Lepidothrix coronata (blue-crowned manakin) is the source of this 880-nucleotide long non-coding RNA. RefSeq lists it as uncharacterized. The transcript is spliced from 3 exons. The record is from RefSeq and is a predicted model, not a curated record. Lineage: Eukaryota; Metazoa; Chordata; Aves; Passeriformes; Pipridae.